AGAGUUUGAUUCUGGCUCAGGAUGAACGCUGGCGGCGUGCUUAACACAUGCAAGUCGAACGGGAUCCCUGGCAGCUUGCUGCCGGGGUGAGAGUGGCGAACGGGUGAGUAAUGCGUGACCGACCUGCCCCAUGCACCGGAAUAGCUCCUGGAAACGGGUGGUAAUGCCGGAUGUUCCACAUGAGCGCAUGCGAGUGUGGGAAAGGCUUUUUGCGGCAUGGGAUGGGGUCGCGUCCUAUCAGCUUGUUGGUGGGGUAACGGCCUACCAAGGCGUUGACGGGUAGCCGGCCUGAGAGGGCGACCGGCCACAUUGGGACUGAGAUACGGCCCAG
RNAcentral lists this ribosomal RNA (331 nucleotides) under uncultured bacterium. RNAcentral's name for it is "bacterial SSU rRNA". It matches the Rfam family "Bacterial small subunit ribosomal RNA", at positions 8 to 334 of the family's 1533-position model. The record is from RNAcentral.